GACGAACGCUGGCGGCGUGCUUAACACAUGCAAGUCGAACGGAAAGGCCCUUCGGGGUACUCGAGUGGCGAACGGGUGAGUAACACGUUGGUGAUCUGCCCUGCACUUUGUGAUAAGCCUGGGAAACUGGGUCUAAUACCCAAUUGGACCACGAGCUCCUUGGUGAGUGGUGUAAAGCUUGUGCGGUGUGGGUUGGGCACGCGGCAUAUCAGCUUGUUGGUGGGGUAAUGGCCUACCAAGGCGACGACGGGUAGCCGGCCUGAGAGGGUGACCGGCCACAAUGGGACUGAGAUACGGCCCAGACUCCUACGGGAGGCAGCAGUGGGGAAUAUUGCACAAUGGGCGCAAGCCGUAUGCAGCGACGCCGCGUGGGGGAUGACGGCCUUCGGGUUGUAAACCUCGUUCAAUAGGGACGAAGCGCAAGUGACGGUACCUAUAGAAGAAGCACCGGCCAACUACGUG
This 462-nucleotide ribosomal RNA is filed under the name uncultured bacterium. RNAcentral describes it as "partial 16S ribosomal RNA". It matches the Rfam family "Bacterial small subunit ribosomal RNA", at positions 28 to 507 of the family's 1533-position model. The record is from RNAcentral.